GCCAGCGUGAUGCAGUGGUUUGAACAUUGGACUAUGACUCUGAAGACCAGGGUUUGAAUCCCAGCUCUGCCA
Phrynosoma platyrhinos (Desert horned lizard) is the source of this 72-nucleotide non-coding RNA. Lineage: Eukaryota; Metazoa; Chordata; Lepidosauria; Squamata; Phrynosomatidae. The record is from the annotation of a GenBank genome assembly.